GGGGGGGGGGGGGGGGGGGGGGGGGGGGGGGGGGGGGGGGGGGGGGGGGGGGGGGGCGGCGGGGUGCGGCGGGGGAGGGGGGGGUGAGGCCGAGGGAGCGGCCGGUUAGCGGGGGAGGACGGCCGGGAACGGGGGCUAAUACCGCAUAGGUCACGAGGGGGAACGAGGGGGAGCGUCGGGCAUACCGCUAUCAGGUGAUACUACGUCGGAUAAGCUGUUUUGUGGGGUAAAGGCCUACCCAGCCGACGAACCUUCACUUGUCUGAGAGGAUGAUCAGUCACACUGGAACUGAGAAACGGUCCAGACUCGUACGGGAGGCAGCAGUGGGGAAUAUUGGACAAUGGGCGAAAGCCUGAUCCAGCUAUGCCGCGUGUGUGAAGAAGGUCUUCGGAUUGUAAAGCACUUUAAGUUGGGAGGAAGGGCAGUAAGUUAAUCCCUUGCUGUUUUGACGUUACCAACAGAAUAAGCACCGGCUAACUUCGUG
RNAcentral lists this ribosomal RNA (484 nucleotides) under uncultured bacterium. RNAcentral describes it as "partial 16S ribosomal RNA". The stretch from base 56 to 484 matches the Rfam family "Bacterial small subunit ribosomal RNA", at positions 39 to 507 of the family's 1533-position model. The record is from RNAcentral.